ACUUGGGUAGUUUAAUAAGAAUAUAACGUUGAAAACGUUAAGGUGUUCUCCCUGGUU
This 57-nucleotide transfer RNA is filed under the name Proasellus cantabricus. RNAcentral's name for it is "transfert RNA-F(TTC)". Lineage: Eukaryota; Metazoa; Arthropoda; Malacostraca; Isopoda; Asellidae. The record is from RNAcentral.